Molecule: long non-coding RNA, 501 nt
Filed under: Sinocyclocheilus anshuiensis
Lineage: Eukaryota; Metazoa; Chordata; Actinopteri; Cypriniformes; Cyprinidae
Description: lncRNA (ENSSANG00000032967.1)
Source: RNAcentral
UAAUUAUUUCGUCAUGAUGAUGUCAUCCUUAACAGAAUUUUCAAAAGUUGUUUAGUUUCAAACAGGUUGAGGAAUAAUAUAACCUUGAAUAACAGAAAUGUUUGCCAUGAUCGUAAAACUGUUGCUUUUCAGCUCGGUAAUUAACACAGUUUUGAAUUGCUAUCAGUGCUUUAUUGAUGUCGAUGACAGUCUUCGUUUGUGCUGGGGCCAUAUUCUCACCGAAUACAAUAUAAGGAAUGUAGACUCUUGUUUCAAAACGCUCGAUCGCAUAUUCAACAAUGAAUCGAGAGUAAUUGAAGCAGGAAAAGUAGGGAGAGGCUAUGACUUGAUGCUGAAGAAUAUCUUGAUGGCUGAAAUUAUGCCUAUAGUGGAGGAAUCUGACCAGCAAAAAAAUUAUGAUACAGUAUAUGAGUUCAGGCUACAUGCAGCAGCAAACAAUUUCAUUGCUGCAGCCUCGAGGCUGCCCAGAGGUGAGACUUACAUUAUCACUUCAUUUCUUUU